CCAAGCUGAGAGGGUCGCCGUUGCCGGAGGGCAAACCCCCCCUAAAAGGGAGGAGGGCGGGGGCGCUUGUCGCCCUCUAGCCCUCCCUCCGGCACUCGGGUCCCUCGAACCCCCCACCCUUGUCCACUUCUACCUUUGUUGCCUCGGCGGGUCCGCCCGCCAGAGGACCACAACCAAAACUCUUGUUAAGAAACAACGUCCUGUCUGAGCUAUAGCAAAAGCAAUAGUUUA
Molecule: unclassified non-coding RNA, 231 nt
Filed under: uncultured Gloniopsis
Lineage: Eukaryota; Fungi; Ascomycota; Dothideomycetes; Hysteriales; Hysteriaceae
Description: sequence contains ITS1
Source: RNAcentral